GCCGGGUGUGGUGGCGCAUGCCUGUAAUCCCUGCCACGGGGGAGGCUGAAGCUUGUGGAUCAUUUGAGCCAAUUUUGAGCUGUAGUGGGGCUAAAGCCAAUCAGGUGUCUGCACUGAGUCCAGCACCAAUAUGAUGAGCCCCCAGGAGUUGGGGACCCACCAGGCUGCAUAAGGAGAGGCAAACUUUGGAAAAGUUCAAAACUUCUGUGCUGAUCAGUAGUGGGAUCUGGCCUGUGAGUUGACACUGCACUUUCAGUCUGGGCAAGAUAGGGAGACCCAGGG
Sarcophilus harrisii (Tasmanian devil) is the source of this 282-nucleotide unclassified non-coding RNA. It matches the Rfam family "Metazoan signal recognition particle RNA". From Rfam's summary of the family: The signal recognition particle (SRP) is a universally conserved ribonucleoprotein. It is involved in the co-translational targeting of proteins to membranes. Lineage: Eukaryota; Metazoa; Chordata; Mammalia; Dasyuromorphia; Dasyuridae. The record is from Ensembl.